UGUGUGUUAGUGGAAGCGUCUGGAAAGGCGCGCGAUACAGGGUGACAGCCCCGUACACAAAAAUGCACAUGCUGUGAGCUCGAUGAGUAGGGCGGGACACGUGGUAUCCUGUCUGAAUAUGGGGGGACCAUCCUCCAAGGCUAAAUACUCCUGACUGACCGAUAGUGAACCAGUACCGUGAGGGAAAGGCGAAAAGAACCCCGGCGAGGGGAGUGAAAAAGAACCUGAAACCGUGUACGUACAAGCAGUGGGAGCACGCUUAGGCGUGUGACUGCGUACCUUUUGUAUAAUGGGUCAGCGACUUAUAUUCUGUAGCAAGGUUAACCGAAUAGGGGAGCCGAAGGGAAACCGAGUCUUAACUGGGCGUUAAGUUGCAGGGUAUAGACCCGAAACCCGGUGAUCUAGCCAUGGGCAGGUUGAAGGUUGGGUAACACUAACUGGAGGACCGAACCGACUAAUGUUGAAAAAUUAGCGGAUGACUUGUGGCUGGGGGUGAAAGGCCAAUCAAACCGGGAGAUAGCUGGUUCUCCCCGAAAGCUAUUUAGGUAGCGCCUCGUGAAUUCAUCUCCGGGGGUAGAGCACUGUUUCGGCAAGGGGGUCAUCCCGACUUACCAACCCGAUGCAAACUGCGAAUACCGGAGAAUGUUAUCACGGGAGACACACGGCGGGUGCUAACGUCCGUCGUGAAGAGGGAAACAACCCAGACCGCCAGCUAAGGUCCCAAAGUCAUGGUUAAGUGGGAAACGAUGUGGGAAGGCCCAGACAGCCAGGAUGUUGGCUUAGAAGCAGCCAUCAUUUAAAGAAAGCGUAAUAGCUCACUGGUCGAGUCGGCCUGCGCGGAAGAUGUAACGGGGCUAAACCAUGCACCGAAGCUGCGGCAGCGACGCUGAUGCGUUGUUGGGUAGGGGAGCGUUCUGUAAGCCUGCGAAGGUGUGCUGUGAGGCAUGCUGGAGGUAUCAGAAGUGCGAAUGCUGACAUAAGUAACGAUAAAGCGGGUGAAAAGCCCGCUCGCCGGAAGACCAAGGGUUCCUGUCCAACGUUAAUCGGGGCAGGGUGAGUCGACCCCUAAGGCGAGGCCGAAAGGCGUAGUCGAUGGGAAACAGGUUAAUAUUCCUGUACUUGGUGUUACUGCGAAGGGGGGACGGAGAAGGCUAUGUUGGCCGGGCGACGGUUGUCCCGGUUUAAGCGUGUAGGCUGGUUUUCCAGGCAAAUCCGGAAAAUCAAGGCUGAGGCGUGAUGACGAGGCACUACGGUGCUGAAGCAACAAAUGCCCUGCUUCCAGGAAAAGCCUCUAAGCAUCAGGUAACAUCAAAUCGUACCCCAAACCGACACAGGUGGUCAGGUAGAGAAUACCAAGGCGCUUGAGAGAACUCGGGUGAAGGAACUAGGCAAAAUGGUGCCGUAACUUCGGGAGAAGGCACGCUGAUAUGNNNNNNNNNNNNNNNNNNNNNNNNNNNNNNNNNNNNNNNNNNNNNNNNNNNNNNNNNNNNNNNNNNNNNNNNNNNNNNNNNNNNNNNNNNNNNNNNGAUGGAGCUGAAAUCAGUCGAAGAUACCAGCUGGCUGCAACUGUUUAUUAAAAACACAGCACUGUGCAAACACGAAAGUGGACGUAUACGGUGUGACGCCUGCCCGGUGCCGGAAGGUUAAUUGAUGGGGUCAGCGCAAGCGAAGCUCUUGAUCGAAGCCCCGGUAAACGGCGGCCGUAACUAUAACGGUCCUAAGGUAGCGAAAUUCCUUGUCGGGUAAGUUCCGACCUGCACGAAUGGCGUAAUGAUGGCCAGGCUGUCUCCACCCGAGACUCAGUGAAAUUGAACUCGCUGUGAAGAUGCAGUGUACCCGCGGCAAGACGGAAAGACCCCGUGAACCUUUACUAUAGCUUGACACUGAACAUUGAGCCUUGAUGUGUAGGAUAGGUGGGAGGCUUUGAAGUGUGGACGCCAGUCUGCAUGGAGCCGACCUUGAAAUACCACCCUUUAAUGUUUGAUGUUCUAACGUUGACCCGUAAUCCGGGUUGCGGACAGUGUCUGGUGGGUAGUUUGACUGGGGCGGUCUCCUCCUAAAGAGUAACGGAGGAGCACGAAGGUUGGCUAAUCCUGGUCGGACAUCAGGAGGUUAGUGCAAUGGCAUAAGCCAGCUUGACUGCGAGCGUGACGGCGCGAGCAGGUGCGAAAGCAGGUCAUAGUGAUCCGGUGGUUCUGAAUGGAAGGGCCAUCGCUCAACGGAUAAAAGGUACUCCGGGGAUAACAGGCUGAUACCGCCCAAGAGUUCAUAUCGACGGCGGUGUUUGGCACCUCGAUGUCGGCUCAUCACAUCCUGGGGCUGAAGUAGGUCCCAAGGGUAUGGCUGUUCGCCAUUUAAAGUGGUACGCGAGCUGGGUUUAGAACGUCGUGAGACAGUUCGGUCCCUAUCUGCCGUGGGCGCUGGAGAACUGAGGGGGGCUGCUCCUAGUACGAGAGGACCGGAGUGGACGCAUCACUGGUGUUCGGGUUGUCAUGCCAAUGGCACUGCCCGGUAGCUAAAUGCGGAAGAGAUAAGUGCUGAAAGCAUCUAAGCACGAAACUUGCCCCGAGAUGAGUUCUCCCUGACUCCUUGAGAGUCCUGAAGGAACGUUGAAGACGACGACGUUGAUAGGCCGGGUGUGUAAGCGCAGCGAUGCGUUGAGCUAACCGGUACUAAUGAACCGUGAGGCUUAACCUU
RNAcentral lists this ribosomal RNA (2697 nucleotides) under Escherichia coli. Its description in RNAcentral is "partial 23S ribosomal RNA". It matches the Rfam family "Bacterial large subunit ribosomal RNA", at positions 323 to 2925 of the family's 2925-position model. Lineage: Bacteria; Pseudomonadati; Pseudomonadota; Gammaproteobacteria; Enterobacterales; Enterobacteriaceae. The record is from RNAcentral.